UACGGAGGAUGCGAGCGUUAUCCGGAUUUAUUGGGUUUAAAGGGUGCGCAGGCGGCACGGCAAGCCGGCGGUCAAAUCGCGGGGCUCAACCCCGCCCAGCCGUCGGAACUGCCGGGCUAGAGUGGGCGAGAAGUGCGCGGAAUGCGUGGUGUAGCGGUGAAAUGCAUAGAUAUCACGCAGAACUCCGAUUGCGAAGGCAGCGCACCGGCGCCCUACUGAUGCUCAGGCACGAAAGCGUGGGUAUCGAACAGG
RNAcentral lists this ribosomal RNA (252 nucleotides) under uncultured bacterium. RNAcentral describes it as "partial 16S ribosomal RNA". It matches the Rfam family "Bacterial small subunit ribosomal RNA", at positions 524 to 776 of the family's 1533-position model. The record is from RNAcentral.